UCUCCGUUGGUGAACCAGCGGAGGGAUCAUUACUGGAAUCGCAAGAUCCCACAACCCUGUGAACCUACCGAAACGUUGCCUCGGCGGGUGCCCGGCCUCUGCGCCGGGCGCUGCACCCGCCGGCGGCCCCCUACUCUGUCUCUGCAGCGUGGCAUCUCAGAGUCCCAGAAAACAAGUCAAAACUUUCAACAACGGAUCUCUUGGCUCUA
This 209-nucleotide unclassified non-coding RNA is filed under the name plant metagenome. RNAcentral's name for it is "partial contains small subunit ribosomal RNA, internal transcribed spacer 1, and 5.8S ribosomal RNA". The record is from RNAcentral.